RNAcentral lists this long non-coding RNA (1515 nucleotides) under Cricetulus griseus (Chinese hamster). RNAcentral's name for it is "lncRNA (ENSCGRG00000026465.1)". The record is from RNAcentral. Lineage: Eukaryota; Metazoa; Chordata; Mammalia; Rodentia; Cricetidae.
CUGAGUGUUCUGUAGUUUGUACAUUCGCCCUUUUCCUUGGUUCUUUAUAGAAAAACAAAGCUGCUCAGCGGCUUUUGCUCUUCGUUUUCUGUCUUGUUCAUUUUCCCGGUCGCUUAUUUGCCCCUUUCUUCCCAGGCUUCCUGGGGCGCUUGCUGUGAGCCACCUUGGCUCGGAAGCUGGAGACAUCGGCGUAGCCCUCACCUCAUUUGGGGCCUUUCUUCUUUCCACCAAAACCAAACUUCUGGGUUUUGUACCGUCGUUUGGCAUUGGGCCCUUUACUCAUCUGCUGGCCCUUAGCUCUUGCCUUUGCACCGCUUCUGAUCCUCCUCAAGGAAAUCCAGUUUAUCAGAGAAGCCUUUCUGGCAUUUCCCGAAGGAAUACCGAUGACAUGUGACUGGACAUCCGAGAAGAGGACAUUAGAGAUACUCUCCAGGACACGGAAAGAAGGGGACAUUAGAGAUACUCUCCAGGACAUGGAAAGAAGAGGACAUUAGAGAUACUCUCCAGGACACAGAAAGAAGAGUCCUGGGACAAGUUCCCAUAACUGCUAGCAAUGGCUAAAAGAUUUGGGAAGGCAGAAUAUUUUUAAAUGAAAACUUAAGUUUAUAGUGAACUUACCCUUUCCUGCUGACUAGAGGGGUGGGCUCAUCAGAAGAACAGUUUGAGACAGAAGGACAGUCUACCAAGGGAAGUCACUUCAGCCUCGGGAUGGUUAGCCUUGUAAGCAGUUUAGAAUGGCAGCUACAGUAAGUAUCACAUUGGCAUUUGAGUUGAGGUUUCAAGAUUAUAAACCAAUCCUUUUUUCUUCCUUAUUCCGGCUCUUUGUCAUUUAAUUUAGAACAUCUUAGGUUUUUUUCUCAUCUAUGCCCAAUACAGUUAUUUUAAAAACGUUAUGAUAAUAGAAAUGACAGGAUGAUUGAGUGAAGCUGUGGAGAAAGGUGAAGUCUGUAGUCACAAGACAAGCAGCAUUUUUUAUCGAAACACUGGGAUGUGCUGUUUUCUUUGUGGAUAUUAGGUCCCUGACUAUUGUGAGAAUACUCAGGGUAUCUCUAAGUCUUCUGCAUGGGAAGUGAAUGGGCAUUUGAAGGUAGAAUAUCACCACAGUGGACAGUGAGAGUCUAGGGAGAAAUCAAGACUGCCCCAAAUAUGUUGGACUGAUUCUUAAUGGAGAAUACACUCAAGUGAAAAUUUCUGAGAUUCAUGAUUCACCAGGACUCCUAAGAACAAAACUGUUUAUUAGUAUUAUUUAAUUUUGCACAUGAGUAUUUUGGCUGAAUGUAGGUAAGUAUAGAUGUGCUUGUCUGGUGCCUACAGAGGUCCAAAGAGGGUGUCAGGCCCUCUGGAACUGAAGUUACAGAUAGUUAUGAACCAUAAUUCAGGAUCUGGGAACUGACCUGGAUCCUCUUCAAAAGCAACAAGUGGUUCUAACAGUUGAACCAUCUCUGUACCCCAUUUUUAAUUAUUAAAUUUGAAAAUUGUGUGAAAUAAAAAAAUAAACAUGCAAAUAGAGAGUAC